AAAGGAGUAGGUUCAGUAAGACCCCUUUUUGGCCCCAAAAUAUAGCAGUUUUACAAAAUUGUGAAAAUGUAAUCUUUUAGCUAUUUACUGGAAAGUAUAAUGCUUCUGCUUCAUAAAUAUGGACUGUUUUUGACAAUACAAUGCACAAAUAUCGGGUACUAGCAUCAUAAAGUCAUGCUAUAUUACUGAAAUCUUCACAAUUUUAGCAUUUUAGCUAAAUUUUAGACGGUUUCCGUCUUAAGUGAAAGUGGCCUCAUUCGUGUUCAUUCAUAAUAUUGAAAUCUAAGUUGUAUUUGGUGAUAAUACAUAACAUAUAUAAAGGUUGAGGAUGAACACGGAUGCGGA
RNAcentral lists this long non-coding RNA (345 nucleotides) under Mytilus galloprovincialis (Mediterranean mussel). Lineage: Eukaryota; Metazoa; Mollusca; Bivalvia; Mytilida; Mytilidae. The record is from RNAcentral.